UAAUGAAAGAUGUAAACAAUCCCUU
This 25-nucleotide non-coding RNA is filed under the name Drosophila melanogaster (fruit fly). Lineage: Eukaryota; Metazoa; Arthropoda; Insecta; Diptera; Drosophilidae. The record is from RNAcentral.